GGGGAAUAUUGGACAAUGGGCGAAAGCCUGAUCCAGCAACGCCGCGUGAGGGAUGACGGCCUUCGGGUUGUAAACCUCUUUCAGUAGGGACGAAGCGAAAGUGACGGUACCUACAGAAGAAGGACCGGCCAACUACGUGCCAGCAGCCGCGGUAAUACGUAGGGUCCGAGCGUUGUCCGGAAUUAUUGGGCGUAAAGGGCUCGUAGGCGGUUUGUCACGUCGGGAGUGAAAACUCAGGGCUCAACCCUGAGCGUGCUUCCGAUACGGGCAGGCUAGAGGUAUGCAGGGGAGAACGGAAUUCCUGGUGUAGCGGUGGAAUGCGCAGAUAUCAGGAGGAACACCGGUGGCGAAGGCGGUUCUCUGGGCAUUACCUGACGCUGAGGAGCGAAAGCAUGGGGAGCGAAC
Molecule: ribosomal RNA, 405 nt
Filed under: uncultured bacterium
Lineage: Bacteria
Description: bacterial SSU rRNA
Rfam family: Bacterial small subunit ribosomal RNA
Source: RNAcentral